This is a long non-coding RNA of Triticum dicoccoides, 1509 nucleotides long. RefSeq lists it as uncharacterized. Lineage: Eukaryota; Viridiplantae; Streptophyta; Magnoliopsida; Poales; Poaceae. The transcript has 8 exons. The record is from RefSeq and is a predicted model, not a curated record.
CGUUCCCCACCUCCCCUCCUCUCCUCUCUGUUGUCUGUUCUUCGGCGCGGCGGUGUGGGACGGCGGAGCUGCAGCGGACGACGACCACUAGGUGGGGAGGGCCAGCGCGGCGGUGUGGGAGGGCGGAGCUGCAGUGGACCGCGACCACUAGGCGGGGGUGGCCGGCGCGGCGGUGUGGGAGGGCGGAGCUGCAGUGGACCGCGACCACUAGGCGGGGGUGGCCGGCGCGGCGAUGUGGGAGGGCGGAGCUGCAGCGGACCGCGACCACUAGGCGGGGUUGGCGGGCAAAAUCCGCAGGCAGCAGUUUCUGGAUUGAGGGCUACUUCAAGUUGGGCCUUUUGUUUGGAUUCUUUUCUAAAAGUUAAUAUUGUGUAAGAAGUGUUAAGAGCAUUGUCUUAGUAUUAUGGAAGAUCAAAGCAAAAGUGGCCCUAGUUCUUCGAAUGUGAACACAGGGGGAGGCGGACUCUACACGACGAAGAGCACAACUAUACAAAUAUCUCGAAAACAUGAAUAUAUGAUGAAGAGCAGUAACCCUAUAGAGGAAGAAGCAAGAAAAAGUUGUCGGAACAAAAUGAACAGGAUUUGCAGACUAAAACUGCGAGCAGUUGGUGGACCAUGCAAAUGUUUACAUAUCUGAAAGGAAAGUAUAAAGAGAUCCAGAUACUACUCACUGUUCCAAUUUGGAAGGGAAGGCUGAAAUUGUUCAAGGUUGAGAAGAGAAAUGAAUGAACUGUGGAAGACAGUUUUUCUAUCAGGAAACAACAACCUGCAGUUUUUCUAUCACAUACAGCAGGAUUCAGUGCAUAUUGUUGGUGGUCAUUUGGGCAUUAAUGGAAAUAUGAAAUGCAAGUGUGGAAUUUCUCAGCAUGCUUCCUACAGCAAGACAUUUUUUUUCUGGAAGGUUUUCAAGAAGUAACUGAGAUUUGUUUGUCGUUGGCUCAUUUUGUGAAUGGAAAUGGGCGAUGAAGAAAAGUUUGUGAAGUUGGUUUGGCACGUCUCCUAAGGUACAUAAGAGGAAGAGGAAGAGAAGCUCAAUCAGUCUUGGCGGGGCAGGGCAAAAGAAGCAAAAGAAAAGACGAGUAAAAAGAGGUCAAAAGGGCAAAACAAAGAGACAAACUAAGAAAAAAUACAAGAAAGGAGACGAAAAAGAAGGUGUGGUGCUUACAUUUAAUGUAACGGACGACCCACUUGUCAUGGACUCAGACGACUUCUUUGAUAAGUAUAUUAGCAAUGGAAGCGAGACAGAUUCGCCGCAGAGUGUGGGUGUUCUACCCAACCCCCACAAUCUUGUGUGGUGCUGUGUAAUAGAUUCAGCUUUGUUUUUCUCUUCACGUUUGUCCUGUUACGACUAUUAUUAAAAACUAGCAGGGUGACCCGUACAUUUGCGUGGCUAGAUUUGUUAUGCUGACAUUAUAUUUAUUCAUUUAUUUUCAUUAUUUUAUUAGCUUUGAUAUUUGUUUGGACAUGAGGUGCAGGUUUAUAAUAAUAUAAAAGCAUCUUGGAGUGUAA